Molecule: unclassified non-coding RNA, 289 nt
Filed under: Hevea brasiliensis (rubber tree)
Lineage: Eukaryota; Viridiplantae; Streptophyta; Magnoliopsida; Malpighiales; Euphorbiaceae
Source: RNAcentral
AUCAAAUUAUUCAAUCAACACCUAAGCAAAUGAUUAACAAAUCACAUAUUUUAAUUGGAACCCCCUAAGUGAAAUUUUUGCAUCUGUCAUUGAGAGCUCGUCUGUUUAUUGGGAAAGACCUCUAAAUAUGAAGAUGUUUCCAAAGUAGUCAAAACAAGUAUUUAGCCUGGAUUUAAAUACGUGAAGAUUGAUGAUUUAGUGAGGUCAGCUUGGAGGAUGAUAUGGAAUUUAAAAUUGGACCAAUACAUUGAAGAGUAAUGUCUUUGUCGAAAAAAAAAAAGAAGAAAGU